This 75-nucleotide transfer RNA is filed under the name Candidatus Dependentiae bacterium ADurb.Bin331. RNAcentral's name for it is "tRNA-Thr". It matches the Rfam family "tRNA". Rfam says of the family: Transfer RNA (tRNA) molecules are approximately 80 nucleotides in length. Their secondary structure includes four short double-helical elements and three loops (D, anti-codon, and T loops). The record is from RNAcentral.
GCCCACGUAGCUCAGUGGCAGAGCACUUCCUUGGUAAGGAAGAGGUCACCGGUUCAAUCCCGGUCGCGGGCUCCA